RNAcentral lists this long non-coding RNA (215 nucleotides) under Ananas comosus (pineapple). RNAcentral describes it as "long non-coding RNA (ACOM_LNC018676)". Lineage: Eukaryota; Viridiplantae; Streptophyta; Magnoliopsida; Poales; Bromeliaceae. The record is from RNAcentral.
UUUUCUACCAUUAAACGAUUAAACACAUUGCACCGACGAUAAAUUUUCUAACGAAUUGUUCGUUUGGUUAGUGAUAUCGAAAAAAAUAUAAAAUUGGGUUUUUUAUAGUUUGAAUGGUUUAGAUUAUGUUCAACGGAGCUAAGCGUCAAUUUGAAAGCUUUAUGAUUGAAAACAAAUCAGUAGUAAAUCGAGGUGUUUACUAUCAAUAUUAGCUA